CGGGUGAGUGACCUAGAAUUGUUCUAAAAUUUUGGAUGAGAGAAAAAUCAAAGAGAAGAGAGUCUUCAUCAAAUUUUUUUCUACCAUCCAGCAUCCCCUCUAAUCCAUCUUUAAUAUUAAAAAGGUCUGAAGCAAUUGAAAGAAGAGAUCAAAUCAGAUCUACCAUCAGAAGUCGACUGUGCAAUCUAGCACUCCCGCGGAGGGCUGAUCGGUCUGAGGACUUUGUGUGGACCAUCUGUAGAGAUCGGAUACUUAUGCAGCUAUGAGCGACCAAAGAAAACUUCCAGAUCUACAUUCUCAAUUAUGAAGAUCAACUACCCAUGC
Molecule: long non-coding RNA, 324 nt
Filed under: Elaeis guineensis (African oil palm)
Lineage: Eukaryota; Viridiplantae; Streptophyta; Magnoliopsida; Arecales; Arecaceae
Description: long non-coding RNA (EGUI_LNC020215)
Source: RNAcentral